This is a non-coding RNA of Apis mellifera (honey bee), 81 nucleotides long. NCBI's taxonomy places the organism in Eukaryota, Metazoa, Arthropoda, Insecta, Hymenoptera, Apidae. The record is from Rfam.
AGCGUGGUAUUUGUUUUAGAAUUCCUACGCUUUACCGAUGUUCGAAGUGGCAAAGCGUUUGAAAUCUGAAACGAAUGCGCA